UUGAACGCUGGCGGCAGGCCUAACACCUGCAAGUCGAGCGGAUGAAGGGAGCUUGCUCCUGGAUUCAGCGGCGGACGGGUGAGUAAUGCCUAGGAAUCUGCCUGGUAGUGGGGGAUAACGUCCGGAAACGGGCGCUAAUACCGCAUACGUCCUGAGGGAGAAAGCGGGGGAUCUUCGGACCUCACGCUAUCAGAUGAGCCUAGGUCGGAUUAGCUAGUUGGUGGGGUAAAGGCCUACCAAGGCGACGAUCCGUAACUGGUCUGAGAGGAUGAUCAGUCACACUGGAACUGAGACACGGACCAGGCUCCUACGGGAGGCAGCAGUGGGGAAUAUUGGACAAUGGGCGAAAGCCUGAUCCAGCCAUGCCGCGUGUGUGAAGAAGGUCUUCGGAUUGUAAAGCACUUUAAGUUGGGAGGAAGGGCAGUAAGUUAAUACCUUGCUGUUUUGACGUUACCAACAGAAUAAGCACCGGCUAACUUCGUG
Molecule: ribosomal RNA, 483 nt
Filed under: uncultured bacterium
Lineage: Bacteria
Description: partial 16S ribosomal RNA
Rfam family: Bacterial small subunit ribosomal RNA
Source: RNAcentral